RNAcentral lists this ribosomal RNA (601 nucleotides) under uncultured bacterium. RNAcentral's name for it is "bacterial SSU rRNA". It matches the Rfam family "Bacterial small subunit ribosomal RNA", at positions 338 to 1415 of the family's 1533-position model. The record is from RNAcentral.
CCUACGGGAGGCAGCAGUGGGGAAUAUUGCGCAAUGGGCGAAAGCCUGACGCAGCGACGCAGCGUGAGGGAUGAAGGCCUUCGGGUUGUAAACCUCUUUCAGCGGGGACGAAGCGAAAGUGACGGUACCCGCAGAAGAAGCACCGGCUAACUACGUGCCAGCAGCCGCGGUAAUACGUAGGGUGCAAGCAUUGUCCGGAUUUAUUGGGCGUAAAGAGCUCGUAGGCGGCUUGUCACGUCGGGUGUGAAAACUUGGGGCUCAACCCCAAGCCUGCACUCGAUACGGGCUAGCUAGAGUGUUGCAGGGGAGACUGGAAUUCCUGGUGUAGCGGUGAAAUGCGCAGAUAUCAGGAGGAACACCGGUGGCGAAGGCGGGUCUCUGGGCAACUACUGACGCUGAGGAGCGAAAGCGUGGGGAGCGAACAGGAUUAGAUACCCUGGUAGUCCACGCCGUAAACGGUGGGCGCUAGGUGUGGGGAACCUUCCACGUUCUCUGUGCCGCNGCUACGACAUAGCGCCCGCCGUGGGAGGACGGCCGCGAGACUAAACUACAAGAAGUAGACGGCGUGAGACGUGCCGACGGCGACGACGAGGGAGGUAGG